This 429-nucleotide ribosomal RNA is filed under the name bacterium. Its description in RNAcentral is "partial 16S ribosomal RNA". It matches the Rfam family "Bacterial small subunit ribosomal RNA", at positions 355 to 776 of the family's 1533-position model. The record is from RNAcentral.
UGGGGAAUCUUCCGCAAUGGACGAAAGUCUGACGGAGCAACGCCGCGUGAGUGAUGACGGCCUUCGGGUUGUAAAGCUCUGUUAAUCGGGACGAAUGGUUCUUGUGCAAAUAGUGCGAGGAUUUGACGGUACCGGAAUAGAAAGCCACGGCUAACUACGUGCCAGCAGCCGCGGUAAUACGUAGGUGGCAAGCGUUGUCCGGAAUUAUUGGGCGUAAAGCGCGCGCAGGCGGAUUGGUCAGUCUGUCUUAAAAGUUCGGGGCUUAACCCCGUGAUGGGAUGGAAACUGCCAAUCUAGAGUAUCGGAGAGGAAAGUGGAAUUCCUAGUGUAGCGGUGAAAUGCGUAGAUAUUAGGAAGAACACCAGUGGCGAAGGCGACUUUCUGGACGAAAACUGACGCUGAGGAGCGAAAGCCAGGGGAGCGAACGGG